UGUUGGCAUGCUUGAAGCUGCAGAUCUUUCACUUGAUGAACCAGAAUUGGAGGAGGAAAUCAUUGGUUCUCUCACUUGAGUCUACUGCCAAUCUGCCAUUCGCUCCUUCAGCCAUGAGAGAAUGAGACUAUCAGUCAUUCUCUCCAUUUAUGUAAUCGACUUAUGAACUACCUAUUUGCCAUUUGAACUUUAUGUGUAUGAGACUUUGUGGCCAUCUGAGCCUUGCUAUUUGUGUUCUAUUUAAAAUAUGGUGUUGAGAACUUGAGAGUUGAGAUUGCCAAACCAUUCUGCAAUUGGGAGCGAAAUGGCAUUGCAAAUUGGAUGCAACUUGCAAUGAGAUGGGGGGACGAGGAUCGAUCAAGCACUUGAUAAAAGAGACACCAAAUGGGGCAGUACUCUAGUCUAUUCUUUAUUUUGAUCUAUUUCUCUUUAAUUUUCUGUCUUAACUCUAUAUUACAUGGCAUAU
Long non-coding RNA from Triticum dicoccoides, 466 nucleotides. RefSeq lists it as uncharacterized. NCBI's taxonomy places the organism in Eukaryota, Viridiplantae, Streptophyta, Magnoliopsida, Poales, Poaceae. The record is from RefSeq and is a predicted model, not a curated record. The transcript has 2 exons.